RNAcentral lists this long non-coding RNA (3689 nucleotides) under Olea europaea (common olive). RNAcentral's name for it is "long non-coding RNA (OEUR_LNC003124)". Lineage: Eukaryota; Viridiplantae; Streptophyta; Magnoliopsida; Lamiales; Oleaceae. The record is from RNAcentral.
GCCAAGUCAAUUACCUUUCAGACACUAAUCACCCAACAAGAAUAGUUUGCAGCAUUUAGAAAUGCGGUGAGUAUAUGAUGACACAGAAAUAUAGAAUUCAAUCGUCUUUCUUGCACAUUAGAUUAGGGCCAUAUUAGAGACAACUGUGUGGAAUUAUAAUCUAUAAGCCUAUUAGAAUGAUCUCAAGUCUCUGUUAAAUUUAGUCUUAAGAAAACCAUGCAGACAUUGAUGUAGGGAGAUUAAUAAAUCUGUGAAUAACAAGAAGGGAUGGGGGAGGGAAGAGAAGAAGAAUACAGAGGAGGGGAAGAAGAGAGGGAAAACGGCUGCAAAACCAAUUCUUUAAUUCAUCAAAUUCAUCAUCUCAAAUAACAAUGUAAGAUAGGUUUAAAUACUGAAAAAUAAUGCAAACCUAGGGCUAAGCCCAAUACACAAGUCCAUAAAAUUAAAAUAACCUAAAUUCCAACUAAAAUAAUUAAAAUUGUUAAAAUUAAUUAAAAUUGGAUGUCCUCAUCAAUUCUCCCUGGGUGGGAGAGAAAACUCGACCCUGUCGAGUGGCUAUAUCAUGUCCUCAUCAGACAUGAUAAAAAACAUCACAGAAUAUUUUUCAUAUGAGCACCAUUAAGAUCAAUAGAAAUAAGAAUUACAAAGUCAAAUAAUUCAGAAUAACAAUGCAAGUUUCAAUGAAUUACAAAAUGCUUCACAUCCACCAGCACAUAAGUAUCAAAAAUGGGCCAGUGCCAGAAGUCCCGGAACUUCCAGCACUUGUAUAUCUAUACAUUUAGAAAUGUUAUUGGGCCUAUUAAUAUUGAAAUUCAUCUGACAAACCGAGAGCUACAACAGUAGACAGCAACACACUAUCACACAGCAGAGGCAUUCAACAUAAACAACUUCAUUAGUCAAGAUCCUCAACAUCAAAACAAUUUUUUCUUUCCAUCUUUAUAAUGAACAAGAAAAAAAUUGCAUAUCGAAAAUCAUAAAUACAUUAAGAAAUUCAUGACAGGGCAUAAAUCUUCACAUACUCCACAAUAGAGAAGAUAAAGUCGAAUAAUAAUAAGUUUUAACCAGAUAACUCGUGCACUAAUAGGGCUUCGAAAUAUUAUCAAACAAUGACCAUAAAUUGUUGUCAAAGGUGGUUUAAAAUUAUUUAAAACAGCAUUAUCUAAAAAUAGCUUAAAACAGAAGUUAGUUAAAUGCAAGUUUUACAUUUUGCAUAAGAGAAUAGGCCUGUUGAAAGCCUUACAGGCAAAACACAUUAAUUGAAUUCGAAUACAGGUUUAAUGCAAGUAUAUGUCUGAAAUCAGGACCUCUACACAUGCAUUAAUGCAAAACUAAUUUUUAUGGUUACAUGGUGUCUAAUAUAAUAAACAUUGCUCAAAAUAAAGCAUCAAAUCCAUUUGAAAUAGUUUCAAAGCAUAUUAAACAUCUUUGAUAAUACUUCUUUAAUUUGCGAUCCAUACAUCAUUUAGACAACGAUCCCAUGCUGUACUCCAAGCAUCAAGUGUCCAAUAAGUACUUUAUAAAUUUAAAGAUUUGGAGAAACAUGACAUGCAAAUAAUAGAAAGGUGUUGAUCGUCACAUUAUUGGCAUUUUUUAAUUCCAGUUGGACUUCUAGCAAAACAUUGAUGACCAAAUCAGGAAAAAAGAAAGAACAUGGAGAGAAAUAAAUAUCAGAAAGCGAUGCAAAUAAGAUGCAAAUUAGACAGUGAAGCAUAGGGAAGAUUGUCAAUGAAGCUCUCAUGGAUGGGGACAAAAAUAACUCAAGGAUUGAGAUCAACUUUUUCUCAUAUGGUUGUCAAUUUAGAGAUAAAUGUACUGACUCCCACAGAAUAUCCAUGAAUUUGGUGUAUACUGUUUCAUCCUCCUGAACUGAUUUUUGCAUCUUUUCAUUUUUUUUAUUUGUAGGUGAAUCACACCUAUACCUUUUUCAUUAGUUCUAAUUUUUCGUUAAAAACAUUGCAUGCCCUUCUGUUAUAUAGUCAAAACCACUAUGCACUAAGCUUAAGACAAUUGAACAUUUUAAUAACUUCUCAAGGAUUUUAAUUAGUGAAUGCCAAAAUUUUUAUUAGUCAUUUUCAUAACUUUUUCCCAGUUACUUUAAUCCAUCAAAUAACUUCUCUACUUUUGUCCUUCUCUCUUCACGUACUUGAAUCUUCAUAUGAAUUCUGCAUUUGCAUCAAGUUCAUCAGUCAAAAAGCUCUAAUUACAAAAUGGUCCAAUUGACGCAACCUUACAGUAAUAAUCUUAAGUUGCUGAGAACUUUAUUGUAAAUACUGAUUACUAAAACUAAAUUCAAAAAAGGGAAAGAAGGCUGAAGCUUGAAGUUUCAAGAAAAUAACAUAAAUCUGCUCAAGCUCUUUUAUUUAGCUAAGGAGUUCUAAUUUCAAGCCCCAACCAAGAAACAAAAACUAGAGAUAUUUUCAUAAAAUAUCAUUCACUAUCUCCCUAUUACAUUUCAACACUCAGGGCUCACUCCUGGCCCUUAUAAAACAAAAGUCAUCACUGAAAAAUAGAGGUCAACUAAGCUAGAAAACUGUAAAAAUUAAGCAAGCCAAUAUAAUAAAAUUAUAGCUGAAUAUUCAAGCAAAUUUAGCAUCUAAUUACAUAAUAUUAAAAUCUAAGUUCAAUAACAUGAGCUAAGCCCAAAUUUCCGUGUCAAUUUCAAAAGGUUAAGACUUGACAGGGAACUGAUCAUUUCUCUAGCUCUAGCAUUCAGUGGGAAAUUGCUUUCACACCCAUACGUAGGGAAACCUCACCACAACACUCAUUAUUGCACCAUUACUCUUCUUGAAGUCCUCCAUUAACUGGGCGCUUGAAAUUGAUUUGGUAUAAAUAGUGUCCAUAAAAGGAGGAAGACAUCCAGCUAGAAAGAUGUGAAUUAAUAAACGAAUUUUCACUUAUUUACCCACAUGUUACUUCAAUAUCUCUAAUUUUAUUCUUUUUCAAUAAUCAUCCCAUUGUUUACAGCUUAACUUGAUUUCUGGUGCAAUUAUUACUUGCUUGGCUGUCCAAAUAUGUUUGGGCUAACAAAUCGCUUGCUCAAACUCAAUUAACACAUGAAACCCCCACAUCUCAUUCCAAAUAAUAAUAUAAGAGACACAACUAGUAUAAUUACUUCCCCAAAUAAAAACCAAAUCUAUUUCUUCGUACACAAAAAAACCACAAAAUAAAAAGCAAAUACUUUUACUUCAAGUUAGUUAAUUAUUAACAGAGAACAACAAAUUUUUUGCUCCUUUCACUUGCAUGCCAGAUACAUAAUCCCAUAAAACAGAAAAUAGUUUUACUUCAAGUUAGUUAAUUAUUAACAGGGAACAACAAAUUUUUUACUCCUUUCACUUGCACGCCAGAUACAUAAUCCCAUAAAACAGAUUCUCCAAAAACGUUUAUUCAUUUCCGCAAUCCCAUCCUCCACAGGCAUGAAACAAUAAACAGAUUAUCCAUAAAUGAUUAUCCAUUCCCGCAAUCCCUCCUACCACAGGCAUGAGCAAUUACAAACAUAUAACCCAAAAAAUUAAAUAGCGCUUUCCCAAUCCAGAACAAACUCAUUCACUUAAUGUUCGUAUUUUGCUAGACUGACUUCUUUCCUCGUGAUUAGAACACUUACUGCAUCUCAUCAUAGUCAUGUAUCCUUUUUUUCUCCAUUUUUUUGGCUCAUUGGCACACGGAAUAAUAACGAUAGAGAUGCAAAAAUG